This 253-nucleotide ribosomal RNA is filed under the name uncultured bacterium. RNAcentral's name for it is "partial 16S ribosomal RNA". It matches the Rfam family "Bacterial small subunit ribosomal RNA", at positions 524 to 776 of the family's 1533-position model. The record is from RNAcentral.
UACGGGGGGGGCAAGCGUUGUUCGGAAUUACUGGGCGUAAAGGGCUCGUAGGCGGCCAACUAAGUCGGAUGUGAAAUCCCCAGGCUUAACCUGGGAUCUGCAUCCGAUACUGGAUGGCUUGAAUCCGGGAGAGGGAUGCAGAAUUCCAGGUGUAGCGGUGAAAUGCGUAGAUAUCUGGAGGAAUACCGGUGGCGAAGGCGGCAUCCUGGACCGGCAUUGACGCUGAUGAGCGAAAGCUAGGGGAGCAAACGGG